UACGUAGGGAGCAAGCGUUGCCCGGAAUUACUGGGCGUAAAGAGCUCGUAGGCGGGGGCGUGCGUCCGAGAAGAAAUCUCAAGGCUCAACCUUGGGGCUAUCUCGGAUACGGCGCUUCUUGAGGGUGAGAGAGGAAAGCGGAAUUCCAGGUGUAGCGGUGAAAUGCGUAGAUAUCUGGAGGAACACCAGCGGCGAAGGCGGCUUUCUGGCUCAUUCCUGACGCUGAGGAGCGAAAGCGUGGGUAGCGAAC
This 250-nucleotide ribosomal RNA is filed under the name uncultured bacterium. Its description in RNAcentral is "partial 16S ribosomal RNA". It matches the Rfam family "Bacterial small subunit ribosomal RNA", at positions 524 to 773 of the family's 1533-position model. The record is from RNAcentral.